RNAcentral lists this unclassified non-coding RNA (330 nucleotides) under soil metagenome. RNAcentral describes it as "partial contains 5.8S ribosomal RNA, internal transcribed spacer 2, and large subunit ribosomal RNA". The stretch from base 1 to 121 matches the Rfam family "5.8S ribosomal RNA", at positions 35 to 154 of the family's 154-position model. The record is from RNAcentral.
GAUGAAGAACGCAGCGAAUUGCGAUAAGUAAUGUGAAUUGCAGAUUUUCAGUGAAUCAUCGAAUCUUUGAACGCACCUUGCGCUCCUUGGUAUUCCGGGGGGCAUGCCUGUCCGAGCGUCAUUACAACCCUCAAGCUCAGCUUGGUGUUGGGCCCCGCCGCCCCGGCGGGCCCUAAAGUCAGUGGCGGUGCCGUCCGGCUCCGAGCGUAGUAAUUCUUCUCGCUCUGGAGGUCCGGUCGUGUGCUCGCCAGCAACCCCCAAUUUUUUUCAGGUUGACCUCGGAUCAGGUAGGGAUACCCGCUGAACUUAAGCAUAUCAAUAAGCGGAGGA